This 481-nucleotide ribosomal RNA is filed under the name Bacillus subtilis. Its description in RNAcentral is "bacterial SSU rRNA". It matches the Rfam family "Bacterial small subunit ribosomal RNA", at positions 1 to 478 of the family's 1533-position model. Lineage: Bacteria; Bacillati; Bacillota; Bacilli; Caryophanales; Bacillaceae. The record is from RNAcentral.
UGGAGAGUUUGAUCCUGGCUCAGGACGAACGCUGGCGGCGUGCCUAAUACAUGCAAGUCGAGCGGACAGAUGGGAGCUUGCUCCCUGAUGUUAGCGGCGGACGGGUGAGUAACACGUGGGUAACCUGCCUGUAAGACUGGGAUAACUCCGGGAAACCGGGGCUAAUACCGGAUGGUUGUUUGAACCGCAUGGUUCAAACAUAAAAGGUGGCUUCGGCUACCACUUACAGAUGGACCCGCGGCGCAUUAGCUAGUUGGUGAGGUAACGGCUCACCAAGGCAACGAUGCGUAGCCGACCUGAGAGGGUGAUCGGCCACACUGGGACUGAGACACGGCCCAGACUCCUACGGGAGGCAGCAGUAGGGAAUCUUCCGCAAUGGACGAAAGUCUGACGGAGCAACGCCGCGUGAGUGAUGAAGGUUUUCGGAUCGUAAAGCUCUGUUGUUAGGGAAGAACAAGUACCGUUCGUAAUAGGGCGGUAC